UACAGAGGGGGCAAGCGUUGUUCGGAAUUACUGGGCGUAAAGGGCGCGUAGGCGGCCUUCUAAGUCGAACGUGAAAUCCCCGGGCUCAACCCGGGAACUGCGUCCGAUACUGGAAGGCUUGAAUCCGGGAGAGGGAUGUGGAAUUCCAGGUGUAGCGGUGAAAUGCGUAGAUAUCUGGAGGAACACCGGUGGCGAAGGCGACAUCCUGGACCGGUAUCGACGCUGAGGCGCGAAAGCCAGGGGAGCAAACGGG
This 253-nucleotide ribosomal RNA is filed under the name uncultured bacterium. RNAcentral's name for it is "partial 16S ribosomal RNA". It matches the Rfam family "Bacterial small subunit ribosomal RNA", at positions 524 to 776 of the family's 1533-position model. The record is from RNAcentral.